UUCAUCCAUAGCUCAAUGGUAGAGCACCUGACUGUUAAUCAGGGGGUUGUAGGUUCGAACCCUGCUGGAUGAGU
Molecule: transfer RNA, 74 nt
Filed under: Bacillus licheniformis
Lineage: Bacteria; Bacillati; Bacillota; Bacilli; Caryophanales; Bacillaceae
Description: tRNA-Asn
Rfam family: tRNA
About the family: Transfer RNA (tRNA) molecules are approximately 80 nucleotides in length.
Source: RNAcentral